UGAGCGUUCGCUGCCUUUUUAAGGGAGAGGAAAGUCCGGGCUGCAUAGGGCAGGAUGCCUGAUAACGUCAGGUGGGAGCGAUCCUAAGGAAAGUGCAACAGAAAGUAUACCGCCGUAUCCGGACUGUCAGAGAUUGAAAAUAAACCCUGUUAUCCCGGCCUUUGUUCAGGCUCAGGGCAUUAAGCUUCAUCUCAAUGAGCAUAGGAAGAUUUUCCGUUUCUGACAGUCCGGAUACGGUAAGGGUGAAAUGGCAGUGUAAGAGACUACCGGCACUCCGGUAACGGAGGGCGCAUUGUAAACCCCAUCCGCAGCAAGUCCAUGAAGGAGUCAUAUGGCUGCCCGUCAUGCUCCGGGUAGGACGCUUGAGGCCUUUGGUGACAAAGGUCCUAGAUAGAUGAACGCUUUAAAUGACAUAACCCGGCUUACAGUGGAUCUCG
This 437-nucleotide RNase P RNA is filed under the name chicken gut metagenome. RNAcentral's name for it is "Bacterial RNase P class A". It matches the Rfam family "Bacterial RNase P class A". From Rfam's summary of the family: Ribonuclease P (RNase P) is a ubiquitous endoribonuclease, found in archaea, bacteria and eukarya as well as chloroplasts and mitochondria. Its best characterised activity is the generation of mature 5'-ends of tRNAs by cleaving the 5'-leader elements of precursor-tRNAs. Cellular RNase Ps are ribonucleoproteins. The record is from RNAcentral.